Molecule: ribosomal RNA, 525 nt
Filed under: uncultured bacterium
Lineage: Bacteria
Description: bacterial SSU rRNA
Rfam family: Bacterial small subunit ribosomal RNA
Source: RNAcentral
AAUAGACGAAAAGUCUGACGGAGCAACGCCGCGUGAGUGAAGAAGGUUUUCGGAUCGUAAAACUCUGUUUUCAGGGACGAAUGUGCAAUAUGUAAAUAAUGUAUUGUAAUGACGGUACCUGACAAGAAAGCCACGGCUAACUACGUGCCAGCAGCCGCGGUAAUACGUAGGUGGCAAGCGUUGUCCGGAAUUAUUGGGCGUAAAGCGCGCGCAGGUGGGAUAAUAAGUCUGAUGUUAAAGUUCGGGGCUCAACCCCGUGAAGCAUUUGGAUACUGUUAUUCUUGAGUGCAGGAGAGGAAAGUGGAAUUCCUAGUGUAGCGGUGAAAUGCGUAGAUAUUAGGAGGAACACCAGUGGCGAAGGCGACUUUCUGGACUGUGUCUGACACUGAGGCGCGAAAGCCAGGGUAGUGAACGGGAUUAGAUACCCCGGUAAUCCUGGCCGUAAACGAUGGGUACUAGGUGUUGGGGGUAUCGACCCCUCCAGUGCCGGAGUUAACGCAAUAAGUACCCCGCCUGGGGAGUACG